CAGUCUAUUAUAGCUCUAUACUUCUCCAACAAGUCCAUUUCUAAUUUUACAUCAAAUCCUACAAAAUCAAAUAGUAUCAGGUUUAUACAUACCUCUAUCCCUAAAGUUUUUAUCCCAUAGUCCAUAUAUACACAUUGAGCCUUUAGUAGCCCUUUAGAGGGAGUUUCCACCACUAGUGUUUUUCCUAAAGGUUUUGGUCUAAACUCUAUAUUACAAGCAAAUGCACAGGAAAUGAAAAAGUGAGUUGUACUUGUAUCGAUCAAAGCCUUGACAUAAGUAUUAUGAAUAAAAAGCAUAUCCUGGAUGAGGACAAGAGCAAGAAGGGCACCAGAUUCAUCUAAGUGGUACAAUCGACCAGAUUAUUAAGUUCAAUAACCCAAAAGUGGGUGAUAAUGAUGUCAUUUUUAGGCACUAUCAAACUCCUCCAUAUUUAUCUUGUGCUUGCCCUUAAGCACUACACAAUACACUCCAUCAAUCCUCAUCUCUUCACCUUCAACUCACUUACUCCCAAGCAUUUCAUCACAACCUGAAUGUUACACCUCAACCCUCAAGUUACAAGAACAACCAUCAACUAUAAUUUGUAGGCUUGAGUUUUAUGGAACCACACAAAUGAAUAACCACUUUGACAACAUCCAAACAUGAGAUAAAAGAGUUUUACAAAAUUACCACACAAAAAUUUCAUUGAGUGGAAUUGCCAAUAUCUAGUAGAACAACCACCAAAUGUUUCUAG
Molecule: long non-coding RNA, 730 nt
Filed under: Carica papaya (papaya)
Lineage: Eukaryota; Viridiplantae; Streptophyta; Magnoliopsida; Brassicales; Caricaceae
Description: long non-coding RNA (CPAP_LNC003609)
Source: RNAcentral